AAUAGAUACCCGGGUAGUCCACGCCGUAAACGAUGAGUGCUAAGUGUUAGAGGGUUUCCGCCCUUUAGUGCUGCAGCAAACGCAUUAAGCACUCCGCCUGGGGAGUACGGUCGCAAGACUGAAACUCAAAGGAAUUGACGGGGGCCCGCACAAGCGGUGGAGCAUGUGGUUUAAUUCGAAGCAACGCGAAGAACCUUACCAGGUCUUGACAUCCCGUGACAACUCUAGAGAUAGGGCUUUCCCCUUCGGGGGACACGGUGACAGGUGGUGCAUGGUUGUCGUCAGCUCGUGUCGUGAGAUGUUGGGUUAAGUCCCGCAACGAGCGCAACCCUUGAUCUUAGUUGCCAGCAUUCAGUUGGGCACUCUAAGGUGACUGCCGGUGACAAACCGGAGGAAGGUGGGGAUGACGUCAAAUCAUCAUGCCCCUUAUGACCUGGGCUACACACGUGCUACAAUGGAUGGUACAAAGGGCAGCGAAACCGCGAGGUUAAGCCAAUCCCAUAAAACCAUUCUCAGUUCGGAUUGCAGGCUGC
Molecule: ribosomal RNA, 533 nt
Filed under: uncultured bacterium
Lineage: Bacteria
Description: bacterial SSU rRNA
Rfam family: Bacterial small subunit ribosomal RNA
Source: RNAcentral